This 477-nucleotide ribosomal RNA is filed under the name uncultured bacterium. RNAcentral describes it as "partial 16S ribosomal RNA". It matches the Rfam family "Bacterial small subunit ribosomal RNA", at positions 30 to 507 of the family's 1533-position model. The record is from RNAcentral.
AUUGAACGCUGGCGGCAUGCCUUACACAUGCAAGUCGAACGGUAACAGGUUAAGCUGACGAGUGGCGAACGGGUGAGUAAUGUAUCGGAACGUGCCCAGUCGUGGGGGAUAACUUCUCGAAAGAGCAGCUAAUACCGCAUACGACCUGAGGGUGAAAGCGGGGGAUCGCAAGACCUCGCGCGAUUGGAGCGGCCGAUAUCAGAUUAGGUAGUUGGUGAGGUAAAGGCUCACCAAGCCGACGAUCUGUAGCUGGUCUGAGAGGACGACCAGCCACACUGGGAGUGAGACACGGAACAGACUCCUACGGGAGGCAGCAGUGGGGAAUUUUGGACAAUGGGCGAAAGCAUGAUACAGACAUGCCGCGUGCGGGAAGAAGGCCUUCGGGUUGUAAACCGCUUUUGUCAGGGAAGAAAAGGUUCUGGCUAAUACCUGGGAAUAAUGACGGUAACUGAAGAAUAAGCACCGGCUAACUACGUG